This 460-nucleotide ribosomal RNA is filed under the name uncultured bacterium. Its description in RNAcentral is "partial 16S ribosomal RNA". It matches the Rfam family "Bacterial small subunit ribosomal RNA", at positions 338 to 795 of the family's 1533-position model. The record is from RNAcentral.
CCUACGUGAGGCAGCAGUGAGGAAUAUUGGUCAAUGGGCGCGAGCCUGAACCAGCCAAGUAGCGUGAAGGAUGACUGCCCUACGGGUUGUAAACUUCUUUUAUAAAGGAAUAAAGUGAGGCACGUGUGCCUUUUUGUAUGUACUUUAUGAAUAAGGAUCGGCUAACUCCGUGCCAGCAGCCGCGGUAAUACGGAGGAUCCGAGCGUUAUCCGGCUUUAUUGGGUUUAAAGGGAGCGUAGAUGGGUUGUUAAGUCAGUUGUGAAAGUUUGCGGCUCAACCGUAAAAUGGCAAUUGAUACUGGCAGUCUUGAGUACAGUUGAGGUAGGCGGAAUUCGUGGUGUAGCGGUGAAAUGCUUAGAUAUCACGAAGAACUCCGAUUGCGAAGGCAGCUUACUAAACUGCCACUGACAUUGAUGCUCGAAAGUGUGGGUAUCAAACAGGAUUAGAUACCCGAGUAGUC